Molecule: ribosomal RNA, 257 nt
Filed under: uncultured beta proteobacterium
Lineage: Bacteria; Pseudomonadati; Pseudomonadota; Betaproteobacteria
Description: partial 16S ribosomal RNA
Rfam family: Bacterial small subunit ribosomal RNA
Source: RNAcentral
ACCGGCUAACUACGUGCCAGCAGCCGCGGUAAUACUAGGGUGCAAGCGUUCUUUAAAGGGGACUGGGCGUAAAGCGUGCGCAGGCGGUUUUGUAAGACAGAGGUGAAAUCCCCGGGCUCAACCUGGGAACUGCCUUUGUGACUGCAAGGCUGGAGUACGGCAGAGGGGGAUGGAAUUCCGCGUGUAGCAGUGAAAUGCGUAGAUUUUCGGAGGAACACCGAUGGCGAAGGCAAUCCCCUGGGGCUGUUCUGACGCUC